This 552-nucleotide long non-coding RNA is filed under the name Dermacentor andersoni. RNAcentral's name for it is "uncharacterized LOC126518619". Lineage: Eukaryota; Metazoa; Arthropoda; Arachnida; Ixodida; Ixodidae. The record is from RNAcentral.
AAUAAUUUUUUUCUCGCGCACCGAUUAUUUUGCUGUAUAAGCAAGAGAACCCACCACGUUAGUGUAACGUAUCUUGUACAUCACACUAAUAUGUGCUUUAAUUUACCAAGUGAGAUGAGUUACUUUUAUGGCUCAUUCAGUCAUAUCACACUGCAAGCUGCAUUCAUCAAUCUUCAAUUGGAUUUUGUAAAUGCUUAAUGAAACAUGUUUCCCUUUUAUGCAGAUAUGCAAUGGCAAGCCCUUCCGUGUGUUCCAAAGACAAUGCCUGCGCCUAGCCACAGCAGCUCCCUCAUACAGACUCUGCAAGCCAAGAGGCCGUGGAGGCAAAUACAGGCAGCCAGCACACCUCGAACAGCCGCCUUGACUGCGGGUGUGUCACGCUAGUCGCCAAGGAAACAUUUGAGGCAAAGCGACAGGCAAUGUGAACAGCCACUUCUCCAUGUAAACGAUACUCUUUCUCUCGGAUGACUCCUACGCCUCGCCAUGCCAGCACACUUGUGCACAAAGAUGCCGCGGAGGCACGUACAGGUCAGAGGCAAGAAGCAGUAGCAC